GGAACUUAAGUUCUUAUAAAGAUGUCUUUAAAAUCAAUGAACUGAGUAUUAGCUUCGUACAUUCAUUCAUAGGUGGCCGUCAGAUGGCGGCAACUGUAUUACUGAUUGCCUGCCUCGACUGAAUAAUUAAGCCUUUCGCCAUUUUGUCCCCCUUUAGAGUUUCAUUCCUUUGAAGAACGGUUUUUCAAGUGAUUAUCUUCCUUUUUACAAGCUUUUCGUACCGGAAAAAUUCGUGACUUUUGAAAUUUUUCGCGUUUUCCGUGUCGCAUAAUACUCAACAGUUAUUCCGACUCAUCGUUUAUAAAGAAGAACAAUUAAGCUGCCAUUACACAAUGCAGAUUUUCAACGGAAGG
This is a long non-coding RNA of Coccinella septempunctata (seven-spotted ladybird), 353 nucleotides long. RefSeq lists it as uncharacterized. The record is from RefSeq and is a predicted model, not a curated record. Lineage: Eukaryota; Metazoa; Arthropoda; Insecta; Coleoptera; Coccinellidae. The transcript has 3 exons.